This 329-nucleotide ribosomal RNA is filed under the name uncultured eukaryote. Its description in RNAcentral is "partial 18S ribosomal RNA". It matches the Rfam family "Eukaryotic small subunit ribosomal RNA", at positions 1470 to 1796 of the family's 1831-position model. The record is from RNAcentral.
CCCUUAGAUGUUCUGGGCCGCACGCGCGCUACACUGAUGCAUUCAACGAGUCUAAAACCUGCUCUGAUAGGGGUGGGUAAUCUUUUGAAUGUGCAUCGUGAUUGGGAUAGAUGAUUGCAAUUUUUCAUCUUCAACGAGGAAUGCCUAGUAAACGCAAGUCAUCAGCUUGCAUUGAUUACGUCCCUGCCCUUUGUACACACCGCCCGUCGCUCCUUCCGAUUGAAUGAUCCGAUGAAUAUCAUGGAUUGAGGAUGCAAGCAGGUUCGCCUGUCUUCAUCUUCGAGAAGUGAAGUAAAUCUUAUCAUUUAGAGGAAGGAGAAGUCGUAACA